Molecule: ribosomal RNA, 371 nt
Filed under: uncultured bacterium
Lineage: Bacteria
Description: bacterial SSU rRNA
Rfam family: Bacterial small subunit ribosomal RNA
Source: RNAcentral
ACGUAGGGUGCGAGCGUUAAUCGGAAUUACUGGGCGUAAAGCGUGCGCAGGCGGUUUUGUAAGUCAGAUGUGAAAGCCCCGGGCUUAACCUGGGAACUGCGUUUGAAACUACAAGGCUAGAGUGUAGCAGAGGGGGGUGGAAUUCCACGUGUAGCAGUGAAAUGCGUAGAGAUGUGGAGGAACACCGAUGGCGAAGGCAGCCCCCUGGGCUAACACUGACGCUCAGGCACGAAAGCGUGGGGAGCAAACAGGAUUAGAUACCCUGGUAGUCCACGCCCUAAACGAUGUCAACUAGUUGUCGGGUCUUAACGGACUUGGUAACGCAGCUAACGCGUGAAGUUGACCGCCUGGGGAGUACGGUCGCAAGAUUA